Molecule: small nucleolar RNA, 133 nt
Filed under: Carlito syrichta (Philippine tarsier)
Lineage: Eukaryota; Metazoa; Chordata; Mammalia; Primates; Tarsiidae
Description: Small nucleolar RNA SNORA64/SNORA10 family (ENSTSYG00000032565.1)
Rfam family: Small nucleolar RNA SNORA64/SNORA10 family
About the family: This family belongs to the H/ACA class of small nucleolar RNAs (snoRNAs) which act as guides in the the modification of uridines to pseudouridines. This family includes the human snoRNAs U64 and ACA10 and mouse MBI-29.
Source: Rfam by way of RNAcentral
CCUCUUUUACCUCUGUUUGAGCACACAGGCCCAGUGUGUGCCUGCAGUAUUUUCAGGGAGAGGGAGGAAGGCUCUCCCAAUGCGUGACAGAGCCACCCCAGAUGGCAUUUUUGUUCCUAGUAGUAUGACAGGU